This 423-nucleotide ribosomal RNA is filed under the name uncultured Planococcus sp. RNAcentral describes it as "bacterial SSU rRNA". It matches the Rfam family "Bacterial small subunit ribosomal RNA", at positions 83 to 511 of the family's 1533-position model. Lineage: Bacteria; Bacillati; Bacillota; Bacilli; Caryophanales; Caryophanaceae. The record is from RNAcentral.
GGGAUUAGUGGGGCGAAACGGGGGUGAGUAAACACGUGAGUAAACCCUGCCCCUUGACUCUGGGAUAAGCCCUGGGAAAACUGGGUCUAAUACCGGAUACGACCAUUGCCCGCAUGGGUUGGUGGUGGAAAGCUUUUGUGGGUUUUGGAUGGACUCGCGGCCUAUCAGCUUGUUGGUGAGGUAAUGGCUCACCAAGGCGACGACGGGGUAGCCGGCCUGAGAGGGUGACCGGCCACACUGGGACUGAGACACGGCCCAGACUCCUACGGGAGGCAGCAGUGGGGAAUAUUGCACAAUGGGCGAAAGCCUGAUGCAGCGACGCCGCGUGAGGGAUGACGGCCUUCGGGUUGUAAACCUCUUUCAGUAGGGAAGAAGCGAAAGUGACGGUACCUGCAGAAGAAGCGCCGGCUAACUACGUGCCAG